AUUGCAAUAGCUUAAUAAUUAAGAGUAUAAUAUUGAAGAUAUUAUGGUGAUGGAAAUCUUGCAGUA
RNAcentral lists this transfer RNA (66 nucleotides) under Durgades nigropicta. RNAcentral's name for it is "tRNA-Phe". The record is from RNAcentral. Lineage: Eukaryota; Metazoa; Arthropoda; Insecta; Hemiptera; Cicadellidae.